This 347-nucleotide unclassified non-coding RNA is filed under the name soil metagenome. RNAcentral describes it as "partial contains 5.8S ribosomal RNA, internal transcribed spacer 2, and large subunit ribosomal RNA". The stretch from base 1 to 120 matches the Rfam family "5.8S ribosomal RNA", at positions 35 to 154 of the family's 154-position model. The record is from RNAcentral.
GAUGAAGAACGUAGCGAAAUGCGAUAACUAAUGUGAAUUGCAGAAUUCAGUGAAUCAUCGAGUCUUUGAACGCACAUUGCGCCCUCUGGUAUUCCGGAGGGCAUGCCUGUCCGAGCGUCAUUGCUGCCCUCCAGCCCGGCUGGUGUGUUGGGCCCCGUCCCCCUUCCCGGGGGGACGGGCCCGAAAGGCAGCGGCGGCACCGCGUCCGGUCCUCGAGCGUAUGGGGCUUUGUCACCCGCUCUUGUAGGCCCGGCCGGCGCCAGCCGACCCCCUCAAUCUAUUUUUCAGGUUGACCUCGGAUCAGGUAGGGAUACCCGCUGAACUUAAGCAUAUCAAUAAGCGGAGGA